RNAcentral lists this ribosomal RNA (253 nucleotides) under uncultured bacterium. Its description in RNAcentral is "partial 16S ribosomal RNA". It matches the Rfam family "Bacterial small subunit ribosomal RNA", at positions 524 to 776 of the family's 1533-position model. The record is from RNAcentral.
UACGUAGGGUGCAAGCGUUGUCCGGAUUUACUGGGCGUAAAGAGCGCGCAGGCGGUCGUUUAAGUCGAAUGUGAAAGCCCCCGGCUCAACUGGGGAGGGUCAUUCGAUACUGAUCGACUUGAAGGCAGGAGAGGGAAGUGGAAUUCCUGGUGUAGCGGUGAAAUGCGCAGAUAUCAGGAGGAACACCGAUGGCGAAGGCAGGUCUCUGGGCAUUAACUGACGCUGAGGAGCGAAAGCAUGGGGAGCGAACAGG